RNAcentral lists this non-coding RNA (30 nucleotides) under Cricetulus griseus (Chinese hamster). The record is from RNAcentral. Lineage: Eukaryota; Metazoa; Chordata; Mammalia; Rodentia; Cricetidae.
GUGAGUAUGGACUUGGCAGUAUUUGAGCAG